UCUAGAGAGAGCGCCAAGGCGAGCGCGCAAGGAUGCCGCGGGCCUGGGCCCGCUUGUGCAAGCUAGGAUAGCUUGGGCCGCAGCCCCAGCGCGAGGUCUGCGCGCGCCCGGGCGUGCAUGCGGCUGCGGGGAGGUUCUGUGUGCGCGCAGGGCUGGAGCGCGGCCCGCGUUGGAGCUGAGUGGGCGCUGCGCGCGCGGGAGUAUUUCACAGCAAAUCUGAAUGUUUAAUUAAAGAAUGGAAUACAGAAAACCACAAAAAACUUCAGCUAUUGAUUUAAUCUCAUCUGAAAUUCUACAGGUGUGUCUUCUACCUCAGCAUAUCAAGGCAACAGGCUUCCCUUUUCUUGAGGCUUGAAUGAAAGACAUUCUUCCAUAUAUCUCAGAAUACACCCGAGAGUGGUACUGCUGCAGCCAGCGGGAAUUUCAAGGGCAAAAUUGGGAAAUGGCAAUGGAGUAGAGGUACUUUGUACUCACUAUCUACUGAGAAUGUGUAAGGGCCACAGAAAGAGGUAUUCAACGUGAUUUUAUGUUUC
RNAcentral lists this long non-coding RNA (533 nucleotides) under Ictidomys tridecemlineatus (thirteen-lined ground squirrel). Its description in RNAcentral is "lncRNA (ENSSTOG00000033298.1)". Lineage: Eukaryota; Metazoa; Chordata; Mammalia; Rodentia; Sciuridae. The record is from RNAcentral.